This is a long non-coding RNA of Myotis brandtii (Brandt's bat), 495 nucleotides long. RefSeq lists it as uncharacterized. The record is from RefSeq and is a predicted model, not a curated record. The transcript has 4 exons. Lineage: Eukaryota; Metazoa; Chordata; Mammalia; Chiroptera; Vespertilionidae.
CACUGACCGUGUAAUUGCAUGGUCUUACCCAGCAAGAGCCCAGAACCAGGGCCGCGUGAAUUAACCCUGCGUCCUCAGCACCGAGCACAGGGCACUGAACUCAGGUCACGUGCUGCAGGCUUCGCAGUAACAACCAGUUUACAGAACCGUGAAAAACCCAGUGCACAACCUCCUCCAGGGGGCGGGACGCGGUUAGAAAGGGAAACCCAGCACCAGGGCCAGGGGGUCAUGGUGUCUCACACACGGGGCGGGGCCAAGAGGGACACAGCUGUGAAUAUGUGAGACACAAGUUUAUUCUGGUGACCUUGGGGGAGGGGUGUAAAAAGGUCUGUAUGACCUUGGGGAGGUAUAAGCAGGUCUGUGUGACCUUGGGGAGGUGUAAGCAGGUCUGUGUGACCUUGGGGGGUGCAAGCAGGUCUGUGUGACCUUGGGGGUAUAAGGUCUGUGUGACCUUGGGGGUAUAAGGUCUGCAUGACCUUGGGGAGGUGUAAGCAG